This 87-nucleotide transfer RNA is filed under the name Verrucomicrobiota bacterium. Its description in RNAcentral is "Verrucomicrobia bacterium tRNA-Leu". It matches the Rfam family "tRNA". Rfam says of the family: Transfer RNA (tRNA) molecules are approximately 80 nucleotides in length. Their secondary structure includes four short double-helical elements and three loops (D, anti-codon, and T loops). Lineage: Bacteria; Pseudomonadati; Verrucomicrobiota. The record is from RNAcentral. RNAcentral also lists the same sequence under 1 other name.
GCCGGCGUGGCGGAACUGGCAGACGCGCUGGACUCAAAAUCCAGUGAUCGCAAGAUCGUGUGGGUUCGAGCCCCUCCGCCGGCACCA